Molecule: transfer RNA, 77 nt
Filed under: Sphingomonas sp.
Lineage: Bacteria; Pseudomonadati; Pseudomonadota; Alphaproteobacteria; Sphingomonadales; Sphingomonadaceae
Also listed under: 2 other names
Description: tRNA-Arg
Rfam family: tRNA
About the family: Transfer RNA (tRNA) molecules are approximately 80 nucleotides in length.
Source: RNAcentral
GUCCCGGUAGCUCAGUAGGAUAGAGCGCCGGAUUCCUAAUCCGUAGGUCGGAGGUUCGAAUCCUCUCCGGGACACCA